CCCAGACUCCUACGGGAGGCAGCAGUGGGGAAUAUUGGACAAUGGGGGGAACCCUGAUCCAGCGACGCCGCGUGAGUGAAGAAGUAUUUCGGUAUGUAAAGCUCUAUCAGCAGGGAAGAAAGAAAUGACGGUACCUGACUAAGAAGCCCCGGCUAACUACGUGCCAGCAGCCGCGGUAAUACGUAGGGGGCAAGCGUUAUCCGGAUUUACUGGGUGUAAAGGGAGCGUAGACGGCGAUGCAAGUCUGAAGGUAAAGGGCGGGGCCCAACCCCCGGACUGCUUUGGAAACUGUAUAGCUGGAGUGCAGGAGAGGGAAGUGGAAUUCCUAGUGUAGCGGUGAAAUGCGUAGAUAUUAGGAGGAACACCAGUGGCGAAGGCGGCUUACUGGACUGUAACUGACGUUGAGGCUCGAAAGCGUGGGGAGCGAACAGGAUUAGAUACCCUAGUAAUA
RNAcentral lists this ribosomal RNA (451 nucleotides) under uncultured bacterium. RNAcentral's name for it is "bacterial SSU rRNA". It matches the Rfam family "Bacterial small subunit ribosomal RNA", at positions 330 to 795 of the family's 1533-position model. The record is from RNAcentral.